AAAAAAGGCUGAACAUUUUCACA
Molecule: non-coding RNA, 23 nt
Filed under: Cricetulus griseus (Chinese hamster)
Lineage: Eukaryota; Metazoa; Chordata; Mammalia; Rodentia; Cricetidae
Source: RNAcentral